GAUGAACGCUGGCGGCGUGCUUAACACAUGCAAGUCGAACGGAAAGGCUCCUGCUUGCAGGGGUACUCGAGUGGCGAACGGGUGAGUAACACGUGGGUGAUCUGCCCUGCACUUCGGGAUAAGCCUGGGAAACUGGGUCUAAUACCGGAUAGGACGAUGGUUUGGAUGCCAUUGUGGAAAGUUUUUCGGUGUGGGAUGAGCUCGCGGCCUAUCAGCUUGUUGGUGGGGUAAUGGCCUACCAAGGCGUCGACGGGUAGCCGGCCUGAGAGGGUGUACGGCCACAUUGGGACUGAGAUACGGCCCAGACUCCUACGGGAGGCAGCAGUGGGGAAUAUUGCACAAUGGGCGCAAGCCUGAUGCAGCGACGCCGCGUGGGGGAUGACGGCCCUCGGGUUGUAAACUCCUUUCGCUAGGGACGAAGCGCAAGUGACGGUACCUGGAGAAGAAGCACCGGCUAACUACGUG
RNAcentral lists this ribosomal RNA (465 nucleotides) under uncultured bacterium. RNAcentral's name for it is "partial 16S ribosomal RNA". It matches the Rfam family "Bacterial small subunit ribosomal RNA", at positions 28 to 507 of the family's 1533-position model. The record is from RNAcentral.